AACGUAGGUGGCAAGCGUUAUCCGGAUUUACUGGGCGUAAAGGGUGUGCAGGCGGGGGUGUAAGUGGGGUGUGAAAUCUCCAGGCUUAACCUGGAGGGGUUAUGCCAGACUGCAGUUCUAGAGGGCGAGAGAGGGGGGUGGAAUUCCGGGUGUAGUGGUGAAAUGCGUAGAGAUCCGGAGGAACCCCAGAGGCGAAGGCGGCCCCCUGGCUCGUACCUGACGCUCAGCCACGAAAGCAUGGGGAGCGAACGGG
RNAcentral lists this ribosomal RNA (253 nucleotides) under uncultured bacterium. RNAcentral describes it as "partial 16S ribosomal RNA". It matches the Rfam family "Bacterial small subunit ribosomal RNA", at positions 524 to 776 of the family's 1533-position model. The record is from RNAcentral.